This is a long non-coding RNA of Peromyscus californicus insignis, 1148 nucleotides long. RefSeq lists it as uncharacterized. The transcript has 4 exons. Lineage: Eukaryota; Metazoa; Chordata; Mammalia; Rodentia; Cricetidae. The record is from RefSeq and is a predicted model, not a curated record.
CAGACAGCUCUGGCUGAUGAAGAGAGGGUGACCAUGGAUUGGACAGGCCACAUCUUUUAUAACUAUUACCUGAAAGAAGCCACUGGUUCAAAAAAAAAUCUAAAAAGUACCUGCCUCACUCCAGCCUUCUCUCUUUAUGCAUAACAGUUAUUGAGACACCCAGUCAUGAGUGCCAUGUUUCUUUCAGCAUUAAUUCCAGAGCACACCCCUGCUUCCUGAAGCAUCUACUGGAUACCAUAGCAAGUUCUUUCUAGUUUCAGGGAUCAAACUCAUGACACCAGUCUUGCACUACAAGAAGCUUUGUCCACUCUACCAUCUUAAAAUAACAGUAAAUUAAAAUAGAAAUAUCUUUGGACAAUAUAAUAAAGCACUUAACACAAUACUUGUAUGAAACAAGGCUUGCAGAUCAAUAUAAGAUAAGAUAGACUAGACUUCCCUCAAUUUCCCAAACUUCAGAACUCCAAAGCCCCUGCUGAAACACGGGGGAACCAUUAAGCAGAGAGUAGUGGCAAGACAUCUGGAAGCCCUCAAAACUACGGUGGUGACUGGAAACAAGCCACAGCUGUCAUACCCAAGAACAGAUGACAGUGACAUAAUAAUGAAUGCAUGUCGUCUAGGUGGGAUUCUGGGACAGCAAGAGGACAUUGGGGGCUCAGAGUGUAGUGCUGCUAUUUUGUGCUUAUCUGGCAUGUGCAAGCUCUGGGGUCCAGUCCUCGGCACUGAUAGGGGGUGCGAUAUUAGGUAUUAAGUAAGGAAAUUUGAGAGACUUAAAUUAGUUGAUAAUAAUUUAGUAAUAAAUUAGUUAAUAAUAAUGGAGUAAUACUGAUUCAUUGAUUCUAACAGCUGCUUUGCACCUCCAAUCCAAAGCCCUGUUUCCUUGAAAGUUGGACGCUGGAAUAAGCACCUUGGCUGGCACCCUCACUGAGUGGAGAGUGCUCUUCCUCACUGCAGCACGUGUUCUACUGUGAGUGUGUUCCUCUCCGUCUCUGUCUGAGGGCACAACCGUGAUCCAAUACAAUGGCCAUUGCCCAUCCAUGUGCUGAUAUUGACGAGCUUCAGAUGUGCAUUUCCUCGGUGUAAUUCUUCGUUUUACUUUGUACUUUAGAAUUUGUUUUAAAAUUCUUAUUUCAUGCCCUCCCCUCUCCCGA